GUGCUCGCUUUGGCAGCACAUACACUAAAAUUGGAAUAAUUCAGAGAAGUUUAGCAUGGUCCCUGUGCAAGGAUGACACACAAAUUCAUGAAGUGUUCCAUAUUUUU
Ictidomys tridecemlineatus (thirteen-lined ground squirrel) is the source of this 107-nucleotide small nuclear RNA. The record is from Ensembl. Lineage: Eukaryota; Metazoa; Chordata; Mammalia; Rodentia; Sciuridae.